Molecule: ribosomal RNA, 245 nt
Filed under: uncultured Lactobacillus sp.
Lineage: Bacteria; Bacillati; Bacillota; Bacilli; Lactobacillales; Lactobacillaceae
Description: partial 16S ribosomal RNA
Rfam family: Bacterial small subunit ribosomal RNA
Source: RNAcentral
UGGGGAACCUGCCCCAUAGUCUGGGAUACCACUUGGAAACAGGUGCUAAUACCGGAUAAGAAAGCGGAUCGCAUGAUCAGCUUUUAAAAGGCGGCGUAAGCUGUCGCUAUGGGAUGGCCCCGCGGUGCAUUAGCUAGUUUGUAAGGUAAAGGCUUACCAAGGCGAUGAUGCAUAGCCGAGUUGAGAGACUGAUCGGCCACAUUGGGACUGAGACACGGCCCAAACUCCUACGGGAGGCAGCAGCA